CUCCUGGCGUGCCAAGAAGGCCCACGAUGCAAACAGAUGUGACAUGUCAGAACCUGUACAUCAAGCCCAUUUGGAGAGAGAUGCAGAUCACUCUGGCAGUUUUCCCAUAUGGAUGUCUGAGGCACCAGAACUACAGGACACACUGUGGAGCACUCCUAUGCCACACUGUAGAGACUUCAUCUGAAAUGUGCCCAGAAGGUCUGCAUGCUGGAGCUGCAUAGAUGUGAAAUGCGUUGAUUUUGCACUUCUUCGGAGCUUCUUUGGGCUGAUAGAUGCAGUGCACUCUGUGAGAGCAUUUGGUGUUGCUGAAUGCUGUCCCGUGUUGCCGAUUAUGAUGAAAACAAGCCACCAACAACCUGAUUUUGAGAUCCUACACUGCAAGUUAAUGCCAUGUCAAGUCAUUCAGAGUCAUACUAGAACAGGACAUUUGUGAGAAGGAAGACUGGAGCAAAAGGGCAGCAAACCUAGGUUUGAAAGUCCUUUGAGAUGACGUUAGCGCUGGGUGCCCGUCAGCUGCACCGACCGGCCCAGGCCAACUGAGCGCCUUCCACUCCUAAUCGAAGCCGCGCGUGCGCUGCCUCUCAGCGGGGACACCCCGUGCCCUAACGAUGGAGUGAAAACCAGCCGCUUCCCGACGAAAACCCAUUCUUUUCCCAAAUGCAGUCCAUCUGGGGCUUAGGCCGUGCCGGUAGAUGCUCAGCCCUGCCGUGGAUGUUCUCACUGGCUUCAAGCCAGUAUGGGGAAAGGACAAGACAGAACAGAAGAGAAAGAAAAGAAGGAAAAUCUGAAGAAAAACCCAGAACAAAUGCAAAAGAAACACAUGUGGUAUGUAUUUCUUUUUCCCUUCAUUACUUACUAUUUAUUUUUGAGAGGUAUAAGGUAAAGCUGGGACUAGGGAGGAUUUUCAGGCUCAGAUGAGGCUUGCAAACUAGCUCUGAGACAACAAACUUUUCAAACGUCUCUAAGAUCAUGUCAUAUGCAAGUCAAAACUCACAUUGACAGGGAGGGAGGGCAAGCGCUUAGAGCAUGGUACUCAAAGCUAAGUGUGGCCUAAGUUUCCUAAGCAUCUGGAAUAAGUGUCGCUAACUACACAGUGUUGCAGUUCAG
Long non-coding RNA from Struthio camelus australis, 1107 nucleotides. NCBI's taxonomy places the organism in Eukaryota, Metazoa, Chordata, Aves, Struthioniformes, Struthionidae. The record is from Ensembl.